AUCAUCCAAUAUAUCAACUUCACUCACAGUUUGAACAACAACACGUGGUUCACGGAUAGGCUUAACAAUUGGUGUAAUAUCCAUGCCACCAUCCAUUUUCCUUCUUUUUGCAAAUGGAUCAUCCUCGUCCAUCUGAUCAUUAGCACUAUGCAACUGAGACACUGUACCUUCAAGACCAUCAUCACCUGCUUGUCGAGGUGAUAGUGGAUUACCGCCGGGCUCAGUGUUACUAGUCUGGGCAUUAGUGUUGAAUUUGUCUUCUUGACCAGUGAGGCAUGCAUCUCUCUCACCUCUGUCUUCUUGGAUGGAAGUAAGCACACCAGGAGUAAACCUACGGCUGGGCUGGGGUUUAGGAUGAUCAUGGGAACCUUUAUACACAAUCUCUGUUAUUUGUCCAUCAGGAGAGCGCUCAAAUAUCUUUUUAACUUCACAGUUUG
This 437-nucleotide unclassified non-coding RNA is filed under the name Hevea brasiliensis (rubber tree). Lineage: Eukaryota; Viridiplantae; Streptophyta; Magnoliopsida; Malpighiales; Euphorbiaceae. The record is from RNAcentral.